RNAcentral lists this ribosomal RNA (480 nucleotides) under uncultured Flavobacteriaceae bacterium. Its description in RNAcentral is "bacterial SSU rRNA". It matches the Rfam family "Bacterial small subunit ribosomal RNA", at positions 28 to 505 of the family's 1533-position model. The record is from RNAcentral. Lineage: Bacteria; Pseudomonadati; Bacteroidota; Flavobacteriia; Flavobacteriales; Flavobacteriaceae.
GAUGAACGCUAGCGGCAGGCCUAACACAUGCAAGUCGAGGGGUAACAUGAGUGCUUGCACUUGAUGACGACCGGCGCACGGGUGCGUAACGCGUAUAGAAUCUACCUUGUACUGGGGGAUAGCCUUUGGAAACGAAGAUUAAUACCCCAUAGUAAGUAAAGAUGGCAUCAUUUUUAUUUUAAAGGUUACGGUACAAGAUGACUAUGCGUCCUAUUAGUUAGUUGGUAAGGUAACGGCUUACCAAGACAUCGAUAGGUAGGGGCCCUGAGAGGGGGAUCCCCCACACUGGUACUGAGACACGGACCAGACUCCUACGGGAGGCAGCAGUGAGGAAUAUUGGACAAUGGAGGCAACUCUGAUCCAGCCAUGCCGCGUGCAGGAAGACGGCCCUAUGGGUUGUAAACUGCUUUUAUAUAGGAAGAAACAGUCUCACGUGUGAGAUCUUGACGGUACUAUAAGAAUAAGGACCGGCUAACUCCG